GCCCCCAUCGUCUAACGGUCAGGACGUAAGAUUCUCAUUCUUGAAAUCGGAGUUCGAUUCUCCGUGGGGGUGCCA
Molecule: transfer RNA, 75 nt
Filed under: Verrucomicrobiota bacterium
Lineage: Bacteria; Pseudomonadati; Verrucomicrobiota
Description: Verrucomicrobia bacterium tRNA-Glu
Rfam family: tRNA
About the family: Transfer RNA (tRNA) molecules are approximately 80 nucleotides in length. Their secondary structure includes four short double-helical elements and three loops (D, anti-codon, and T loops).
Source: RNAcentral